Molecule: ribosomal RNA, 405 nt
Filed under: uncultured bacterium
Lineage: Bacteria
Description: bacterial SSU rRNA
Rfam family: Bacterial small subunit ribosomal RNA
Source: RNAcentral
UGGGGGAUAUUGCACAAUGGAGGAAACUCUGAUGCAGCAACGCCGCGUGAGGGAAGAAGGUUUUCGGAUUGUAAACCUCUGUUUUUAGUGAAGAAACAAAUGACGGUAGCUAAAGAGGAAGCCACGGCUAACUACGUGCCAGCAGCCGCGGUAAUACGUAGGUGGCAAGCGUUGUCCGGAAUUACUGGGUGUAAAGGGUGCGCAGGCGGGAUUGCAAGUUGGAUGUGAAAUACCGGGGCUUAACCCCGGAGCUGCAUCCAAAACUGUAGUUCUUGAGUGGAGUAGAGGUAAGCGGAAUUCCGAGUGUAGCGGUGAAAUGCGUAGAUAUUCGGAGGAACACCAGUGGCGAAGGCGGCUUACUGGGCUCUAACUGACGCUGAGGCACGAAAGCAUGGGUAGCAAACA